Rhinichthys klamathensis goyatoka is the source of this 596-nucleotide long non-coding RNA. RefSeq lists it as uncharacterized. Lineage: Eukaryota; Metazoa; Chordata; Actinopteri; Cypriniformes; Leuciscidae. The transcript has 2 exons. The record is from RefSeq and is a predicted model, not a curated record.
GUUCUAGAUGUAAACUUGUAAUUUCUACUAGCAUAAAUGUAACCUCUUUUUUUUUUUAAUCCUAUUUAAUAUUCAUCAACGCAUUGCUGCUAGAUGGCUUGUAAAUCUGAAAACAAAUUACAGGCUUCCUGAAAUGUAUAUCACUAUCCAGAGAAUGUUAAUGGGUUAAUUUUAUGGCAUGGUGUAAAUUUAGCAAAUACUAUUUUUUUUUUAUCCCACUAUAAUAAAUCCAGUAAGUCAUAGUGAAGUAGCUCUCAAAAUUAUUGCAAAGAGGUAUAAUAGUAUGAAAAAGUGUCAAUUGUGUACUAAAGAUGUUCAGUGCUAACAUUCCCUCUGUGAGAUUUGCAUGAUUGUGCCAAAAUGGCCGAUGGGUUCACCUCAUAACCGGAAUACAGAGCAUGAAGCAUCUCGUUCUUGCUGGAUUCCUUUUCUCUUUUUCUCUUCUUCUUUACCUCUCUUUAUAUCAGUCGAUAUGCAUGGUGAGCUAUUUCCAAACCGAACAUAGAACAUUGCUGUUGUCAUUCCCGUGGUGUGUGAAAUUUGUAAUGGAUUGCCUUAAAAAUUACAAAGAAUAAAACAAUGACGUUUUUCGAGAA